UCUGACUACCAGUGUAGUUUUUGAAAACUUCAUACGCAUNGGUGACCCACCGGAUGUCAUGUCGCUUCUAAGUUCUUGGAUGGCCCUUAGAUUGUGCUCGUUCAUCGAUUGUAGUCGUGGUAGGCUUAGGAUUUCACCGUGCCCCGUUAUUGACAGCAAAGGCGAAGCUACGAUUCCUGGAACUUUCCUCAAUGCUUUGUUGAGGUUUAAGAACAGGGUGCUGUUGAUCACGGUUCUGUCUUCGAACGUGAUGAGGUGGGCCUCUCUUGUCGUCCUUAGAGGUCCAUUGUCAACGCUGACCGUUGCUCGCUGCCCAUUUAUGAUGAUUAUGCCAUCGUCCACUACUACAGCAUUGAUGCAACAGGAUGGUGGUGGCCAGGUGGCUGGGUUGCGUGCGUCAUGAAGCAGAGCCGCCGGCGUGUACUUCGCGACAUAAAGAUAAUUUUAACCUGGGAGCAUUCUACUUAAAUAUGAAAUGAAAAAUUCUUAUAUUCUUACAUACUCCCAACAAAUAAGCUACUGGGACCUCUGUGAGCUGUUCGGUAAAAAUAGAUUUUAGGUCUUAGUGGGAUAUUCGCUUUGGCAAGUGUGAUCGUAAUCAUGAGAUUUGGACUACCGAAAUUAGCAUCCUGUUUCUGUGCCUCUGUGUUAAUCAGUACUCAGUUAAUCAGUCUAUUGUUUGAUUCUCCAAGCUGCUAUUUUUUCGAAGCCCAACUCGUCGGGGGUACUUGCUACGACCUUUAAUGCUGUUAUCAGGAAGUCUAGGCUUCUGGCCAUGUAUCCUUAAAGCGGACAACGGAUUUUUUUAUGUUCUAUAUCUGAAUGUGGGAACAACUCAAACAUUUUAACGGUAUAAAAGGCGGUGAUCCGCGCAGUUGUAGUAGAAGGGAGUAGGAAGAGUAUUCCGUCAAACCUGCGGGAAUGAUACCUUAAAUCU
This 937-nucleotide long non-coding RNA is filed under the name Drosophila guanche. Lineage: Eukaryota; Metazoa; Arthropoda; Insecta; Diptera; Drosophilidae. The record is from RNAcentral.